Molecule: ribosomal RNA, 445 nt
Filed under: uncultured bacterium
Lineage: Bacteria
Description: partial 16S ribosomal RNA
Rfam family: Bacterial small subunit ribosomal RNA
Source: RNAcentral
GUAAGGAAUAUUGGACAAUGGACGCAAGUCUGAUCCAGCCAUGCCGCGUGAAGGAUUAAGGUCCUCUGGAUUGUAAACUUCUUUUAUAAGGGACGAAAAAAGGCUUUUCUAAGUCGUCUGACGGUACCUUAUGAAUAAGCACCGGCUAACUCCGUGCCAGCAGCCGCGGUAAUACGGAGGGUGCAAGCGUUAUCCGGAUUCCCUGGGUUUAAAGGGUGCGUAGGCGGGCAGGUAAGUCAGUGGUGAAAUCCUAGAGCUUAACUCUAGAACUGCCAUUGAUACUAUCUGUCUUGAAUAUUGUGGAGGUAAGCGGAAUAUGUCAUGUAGCGGUGAAAUGCUUAGAUAUGACAUAGAACACCUAUUGCGAAGGCAGCUUACUACGCAUAUAUUGACGCUGAGGCACGAAAGCGUGGGGAUCAAACAGGAUUAGAAACCCGGGUAGUCC